GUGCAGCAGGCGCGAAACCUCCGCAAUGUGAGAAAUCGCGACGGGGGGAUCCCAAGUGCCAUUCUUAACGGGAUGGCUUUUCAUUAGUGUAAAGAGCUUUUGGAAUAAGGGCUGGGCAAGACCGGUGCCAGCCGCCGCGGUAACACCGGCAGCUCUAGUGGUAGCAGUUUUUAUUGGGCCUAAAGCGUCCGUAGCCGGUUUAAUAAGUCUCUGGUGAAAUCCUGUAGCUUAACUGUGGGAAUUGCUGGAGAUACUAUUAGACUUGAGACCGGGAGAGGUUAGAGGUACUCCCAGGGUAGAGGUGAAAUUCUGUAAUCCUGGGAGGACCGCCUGUUGCGAAGGCGUCUAACUGGAACGGUUCUGACGGUGAGGGACGAAAGUUAGGGGCGCGAACCGGAUUAGAUACCCGGGUAGUCC
RNAcentral lists this ribosomal RNA (417 nucleotides) under uncultured archaeon. Its description in RNAcentral is "bacterial SSU rRNA". It matches the Rfam family "Archaeal small subunit ribosomal RNA", at positions 330 to 747 of the family's 1478-position model. The record is from RNAcentral.